RNAcentral lists this ribosomal RNA (389 nucleotides) under uncultured bacterium. Its description in RNAcentral is "bacterial SSU rRNA". It matches the Rfam family "Bacterial small subunit ribosomal RNA", at positions 29 to 408 of the family's 1533-position model. The record is from RNAcentral.
AACGAACGCUGGCGGCGCGCCUAAUACAUGCAAGUCGAGCGAGAAGACGUAGCAAUACGUUUGUAAAGCGGCGAACGGGUGAGGAAUACAUGGGUAACCUACCCUCGAGUGGGGAAUAACUAGCCGAAAGGUUAGCUAAUACCGCGUACGCUCCUUGGACUUCGGUUCAGGGAGGAAAGCGAUACCGUGGGCAUCGCGCUCUUGGAUGGGCUCAUGUCCUAUCAGCUUGUUGGUGAGGUAACGGCUCACCAAGGCUUCGACGGGUAGCUGGUCUGAGAGGACGAUCAGCCACACUGGCACUGCGACACGGGCCAGACUCCUACGGGAGGCAGCAGUAAGGAAUAUUGCGCAAUGGGCGAAAGCCUGACGCAGCGACGCCGCGUGGGGGA